AGUGAACGCUGGCGGCAGGCCUAAUACAUGCAAGUCGAACGGCAGCACAGCAGAGCUUGCUCUGUGGGUGGCGAGUGGCGGACGGGUGAGGAAUACAUGGGAAUCUGCCCAGUCGUGGGGGAUAACGUAGGGAAACUUACGCUAAUACCGCAUGCGCCCUUCGGGGGAAAGCCGGGGACCUUCGGGCCUGGCGCGAUUGGAUGAGCCCAUGUCGGAUUAGCUAGUUGGCGGGGUAAAGGCCCACCAAGGCGACGAUCCGUAGCUGGUCUGAGAGGAUGAUCAGCCACACUGGAACUGAGACACGGUCCAGACUCCUACGGGAGGCAGCAGUAGGGAAUAUUGGACAAUGGGCGCAAGCCUGAUCCAGCCAUGCCGCGUGAGUGAAGAAGGCCCUCGGGUUGUAAAGCUCUUUCGGCCGGGAAGAAAUCGCAUGGGUUAAUACCCUGUGUGGAUGACGGUACCGGAAUAAGAAGCACCGGCUAACUACGUGCCAGCAGCCGCGG
RNAcentral lists this ribosomal RNA (503 nucleotides) under uncultured bacterium. RNAcentral describes it as "bacterial SSU rRNA". It matches the Rfam family "Bacterial small subunit ribosomal RNA", at positions 30 to 520 of the family's 1533-position model. The record is from RNAcentral.